CCCUUUACAGAAAAAAACUUACCAAUCCUUAUGAGACCAGACUUGCAAAAAUUACAGUAACAGAGUGAAAAACCUUCUUGAAGUGUUAGGAGGAACUUGAGUCAUAAUUUGAUGUUGAAUCAGAGAGAACAACUGUUUGGGCUUAUUUGCCUCAGAGUAUUUGCCCAGCCUCUGGUAACUAUCAUUCUAUUCUCUACCUCCAUGAGAGCAAAUUUCUUAGCUCCCACAUGUGAAUGAGAACAUGCAAUAUUUGUCUUUCUGUGCCUGGCUUAUUUCAGUUAACAUCGUGACCUCCAGUUCCAUCCAUGUUGCUGCAAAUGGUUUUCCACUGAUGUCUGUCCCAAGGUCUGAUUGAGGAUCCCACAGUGCAUGUAUUUCAACAGGCUUUUAGUAAAUAUUGGGAUUCCAGGCUUUGUCUCUG
Long non-coding RNA from Pan troglodytes (chimpanzee), 421 nucleotides. RefSeq lists it as uncharacterized. Lineage: Eukaryota; Metazoa; Chordata; Mammalia; Primates; Hominidae. The record is from RefSeq and is a predicted model, not a curated record. The transcript has 3 exons.